UUUAAACAAAGCAAUUUUAGCCGAUUACGGUCACAAAUACAACUGGCUUUUGUGUGUGGAGAUAAUUGAUCCGCGUUUUAAUUUUGCAACAUUUUGUGAUUAUAUAAAGCGAUUUCCUUUCAAAAGCGAAUUAGUUUUACGCGAUAGUCGUCUUUGAAUCAAAUCAAUAGUUGUAUAAACUGAACUGGUUCGACGUUCUUAAGCAGCGAAAUCGAGAUAAACAACAUGGUACUGUCUGGUAAAGUCGCCAUAACGUUGUUGCUGUUAUUGUCGACUUUUGUGUUCACAAGCGAAGGAAACUGGUAUGGUAACCAAAUAACCGAAGAACAAUACGGUGAUGACAAUAAACGAGAUUACAUAUCUUCUGACGUGGUCAAAGACAAAGCUGACGAGAAUCUGGGCGACGACCUUUUAUUUCUGGAGGGCGAUAAAGAAACUUAAAACUGUACACUAAAAUAUAUCAUAUAUAUCUCAGCUUGAUUACCAUAACUAUGUUCAAUUUACAUUGUAUAAAUACAUUCUA
Molecule: long non-coding RNA, 523 nt
Organism: Dendronephthya gigantea
Lineage: Eukaryota; Metazoa; Cnidaria; Anthozoa; Malacalcyonacea; Nephtheidae
Exons: 3
Source: RefSeq, a predicted model, not a curated record